This 492-nucleotide ribosomal RNA is filed under the name uncultured bacterium. Its description in RNAcentral is "partial 16S ribosomal RNA". It matches the Rfam family "Bacterial small subunit ribosomal RNA", at positions 29 to 507 of the family's 1533-position model. The record is from RNAcentral.
AGUGAACGCUGGCGGUAGGCCUAACACAUGCAAGUCGAACGGCAGCACAGUAAGAGCUUGCUCUUACGGGUGGCGAGUGGUGGACGGGUGAGGAAUACAUCGGAAUCUACUUUUUCGUGGGGGUUAACGUAGGGAAACUUACGCUAAUACCGCAUACGACCUACGGGUGAAAGCAGGGGACCUUCGGACCUUGCGCGAUUGAAUGAGCCGAUGUCGGAUUAGCUGGUUGGCGGGGUAAAGGCCCACCAAGGCGACGAUCCGUAGCUGGUCUGAGAGGAUGAUCAGCCACACUGGAACUGAGACACGGUCCAGACUCCUACGGGAGGCAGCAGUGGGGAAUAUUGGACAAUGGGCGCAAGCCUGAUCCAGCCAUACCGCGUGGGUGAAGAAGGCCUUCGGGUUGUAAAGCCCUUUUGUUGGGAAAGAAAAGCAGCAGGUUAAUACCCCGCUGCUCUGACGGUACCCAAAGAAUAAGCACCGGCUAACUUCGUG